GCUUUACUCGUAUAACUUCUUAUGUGUGUUAAUUAUCCCAUAUUAAUAUAAUGGGGCACUUCUACUCACUCCUCAUGUGCAUAUGGAUUAUUAUGCUUGAUGUCGCACGCUCCGGCGACGUGGUGCUGGCGCAGACUGUUAUAUGCGAUAGUAGUGAUAUGUCUUACCAAAUGGAGAGUGUUUGCUUCCCAAACACAACGCCUAUCAUGGAUUGCUGCAUUUUUGUUAUACAUGUCAUUGACAUGGCAAUUUUAAAUAAUCUGGAGUGCCUCUGCGGCUUGAAGGACGAACGUGCAUUCUUUGAUAACGGUUUAUCCUUACAGGAUAUGGUUGAUUUCUAUUCCAGUAGUACUUGCUAGGGUCAGAAUCUUAGAAAUGCCCAGAUCGUCGUCGAUGCAUGCGAAGGUAGGGAGCAACAUAGCAAGAUGCCCUCGAUGUCUCAGCAGCUGCACGAAAGCAGGGUCCGGGUUGAGGCUAGCCCCGCCGAUUCGCCAACUCCGCUGGUUUCCCCCUGAUUUGCUCUUUGGAAUAAUUGUUAGUUGGGGCUGGUGAUCAUGUACCUGAUCAGUUUUACUUGAGCAGCCAAGGUUUUUCAUUCAUGCAGUUUAGCGAUCAGUCGUUUCAUGCUAUUAUUCGGUUAUUGUAUCCUGGGCUCCGCCCAAUCUAUCUUUAAUCGUUUUGUCCUCUUAGAUUAGUGGAACCUAUCCUCUUAAUAAAGGUAGUGGUUUUCAAUCAUUAA
Molecule: non-coding RNA, 739 nt
Organism: Oryza sativa Japonica Group (Japanese rice)
Lineage: Eukaryota; Viridiplantae; Streptophyta; Magnoliopsida; Poales; Poaceae
Source: RefSeq, a predicted model, not a curated record